UAGGGAAUCUUGCGCAAUGGGCGAAAGCCUGACGCAGCAACGCCGCGUGCGGGAAGAAGGCCUUCGGGUUGUAAACCGCUUUUGGCAGGAACGAAAAUGACGGUACCUGCAGAAUAAGGUGCGGCCAACUACGUGCCAGCAGCCGCGGUGACACGUAGGCACCAAGCGUUGUCCGGAUUUAUUGGGCGUAAAGAGCUCGUAGGCGGUUCAGUAAGUCGGGUGUGAAAACUCUGGGCUUAACCCGGAGACGCCACCCGAUACUGCUGAACUUGAGUUCGGUAGGGGAGCGGGGAAUUCCUGGUGUAGCGGUGAAAUGCGCAGAUAUCAGGAGGAACACCGGUGGCGAAGGCGCCGCUCUGGGCCGAAACUGACGCUGAGGAGCGAAAGCGUGGGUAGCAAACAGG
RNAcentral lists this ribosomal RNA (404 nucleotides) under uncultured Acidimicrobiales bacterium. RNAcentral describes it as "bacterial SSU rRNA". It matches the Rfam family "Bacterial small subunit ribosomal RNA", at positions 355 to 776 of the family's 1533-position model. The record is from RNAcentral. Lineage: Bacteria; Bacillati; Actinomycetota; Acidimicrobiia; Acidimicrobiales.